UACGAGUGCCCCGAGCGUUAUCCGGAAUUAUUGGGCGUAAAGGGUGUGUAGGCGGUUGUGUUAGUCUUCUGUGAAAUUCUUCGGCUUAACCGGGGUCCCGCAGAGGAAACGGCACAACUAGAGGAUGCGAGAGGUGAAUGGAACUCAUGGAGUAGGGGUGAAAUCCGUUGAUAUCAUGGGGAACACCAAAUGCGAAGGCAAUUCACUGGCGCACUCCUGACGCUGAGACACGAAAGCGUAGGUAGCGAAUGGG
RNAcentral lists this ribosomal RNA (253 nucleotides) under uncultured bacterium. RNAcentral's name for it is "partial 16S ribosomal RNA". It matches the Rfam family "Bacterial small subunit ribosomal RNA", at positions 524 to 776 of the family's 1533-position model. The record is from RNAcentral.